UAAAACCAUCUGAGGAAGACUAAUAUUAUGUUUUGUGCUUCCAUAAGCACAUGAUGACAACUAUGGUCAACGAUGCUCUAAAUCUGCCUGCAUCUCUGGGAAAUGUCUGGAGGGAACAGAGGCUGUGGUCUCCAUGGAAACUGUGGCCGACCAAUGGUGGGUGUUUGCUGCCUGAACAUAUGACACGCUGCCUUUGGAGGGAAAGCUGGACCCAGGAAGGAGCAAAAGCAGGAGGAGGAAAUUUACACAGCAUAAAUAUGUUUGCUCUCUGAAUGAGCUCACCAUGUUUCCCCGAGCUCAUUAAAAUAUCAAACCCAGAGUUAUAUUUCAAUAUGUAGAUAUUGUCAAUAAAAGUAGCUUCAGCUUAAUAUUCUGGGUGAAGUGUUUGGUUUUAUUAUAUUAAACAUGCUACAGUAAUAUUGUCGAGUAUACCA
This 434-nucleotide long non-coding RNA is filed under the name Takifugu rubripes (torafugu). RNAcentral describes it as "lncRNA (ENSTRUG00000027785.1)". The record is from RNAcentral. Lineage: Eukaryota; Metazoa; Chordata; Actinopteri; Tetraodontiformes; Tetraodontidae.